GGGAACGUGCCCUUCGGUUCGGAAUAACUCAGGGAAACUUGAGCUAAUACCGGAUACGCCCUUUUGGGGAAAGGCUUGACUGCCGAAGGAUCGGCCCGCGUCUGAUUAGCUAGUUGGUGAGGUUAUGGCUCACCAAGGCGACGAUCAGUAGCUGGUCUGAGAGGAUGAUCAGCCACACUGGGACUGAGACACGGCCCAGACUCCUACGGGAGGCAGCAGUGGGGAAUAUUGGACAAUGGGGGCAACCCUGAUCCAGCCAUGCCGCGUGAGUGAUGACGGCCUUAGGGUUGUAAAGCUCUUUUCUCCGGGACGAUAAUGACGGUACCGGAGGAAUAAGCCCCGGCUAACUUCGUGCCAGCAGCCGCGGUAAUACGAAGGGGGCUAGCGUUGCUCGGAAUCACUGGGCGUAAAGGGCGCGUAGGCGGCUGAUUUAGUCGAGGGUGAAAGCCCGUGGCUCAACCACGGAAUGGCCUUCGAUACUGGUUGGCUUGAGACCGGAAGAGGACAGCGGAACUGCGAGU
RNAcentral lists this ribosomal RNA (521 nucleotides) under uncultured bacterium. RNAcentral's name for it is "bacterial SSU rRNA". It matches the Rfam family "Bacterial small subunit ribosomal RNA", at positions 120 to 674 of the family's 1533-position model. The record is from RNAcentral.